This is a small nucleolar RNA of Molossus molossus (Pallas's mastiff bat), 131 nucleotides long. RefSeq annotates it as small nucleolar RNA SNORA24. Lineage: Eukaryota; Metazoa; Chordata; Mammalia; Chiroptera; Molossidae. The record is from RefSeq and is a predicted model, not a curated record. The transcript has a single exon.
CACUAGGCUUCUCUGGGACCUGCAGGCUGUGGCGGUCUCCCUUCCUAGCCUGGGAAGAGCAUUUUCUUGUUUAUUGGCAAAGCUGUCACCAUUUAAUUGGUAUCAGUUUCUGACUUGCACAAGUAACAUUC